AGUGAACGCUGGCGGUAGGCCUAACACAUGCAAGUCGAACGGCAGCACAGUAAGAGCUUGCUCUUACGGGUGGCGAGUGGCGGACGGGUGAGGAAUACAUCGGAAUCUACUUUUUCGUGGGGGAUAACGUAGGGAAACUUACGCUAAUACCGCAUACGACCUACGGGUGAAAGCAGGGGAUCUUCGGACCUUGCGCGAUUGAAUGAGCCGAUGUCGGAUUAGCUAGUUGGCGGGGUAAAGGCCCACCAAGGCGACGAUCCGUAGCUGGUCUGAGAGGAUGGUCAGCCACACUGGAACUGAGACACGGUCCAGACUCCUACGGGAGGCAGCAGUGGGGAAUAUUGGACAAUGGGCGCAAGCCUGAUCCAGCCAUACCGCGUGGGCGAAGAAGGCCUUCGGGUUGUAAAGCCCUUUUGUUGGGAAAGAAAAGCAGCAGGUUAAUACCCCGCUGUUCUGACGGUACCCAAAGAAUAAGCACCGGCUAACUUCGUG
Molecule: ribosomal RNA, 492 nt
Filed under: uncultured bacterium
Lineage: Bacteria
Description: partial 16S ribosomal RNA
Rfam family: Bacterial small subunit ribosomal RNA
Source: RNAcentral